CCUCCUUUCUAAGGAAAUCGAAAAAUAUUGAAACAAUUAUUUUCGAUUUAAAAAAAACCGGUAAUGUGACCGUCCUCAUUUCUCUUCUUUUAAUGUUUCUGAGUAUAUGUAAAGGGGCCGGUAGCUCAGGUGGUUAGAGCGCACCCCUGAUAAGGGUGAGGUCGGAAGUUCGAGUCUUCCUCGGCCCACCAAUAUUAAGGGGGAUUAGCUCAGCUGGGAGAGCGCCUGAUUUGCAUUCAGGAGGUCAGCGGUUCGAUCCCGCUAUCCUCCACCAAAUUUGAGACAUUUAGCUUUUUUAAAUUGUGAAUAUUAUUAUUAUCAAUAUCUAUAUCCGAUUGUUUUCAGAUAUUUUUUUGAAAACAAUCAAAACAAAAAUUUAAUUUAUUACAGAAAAAAUUUUUUUCUGUGCAUAAAUCAAGCGUUUAAGGGCGAUUGGCGGAUGCCUGGGCACUGUAAGACGAUGAAGGACGUGGUAUACUGCGAUAAGUUCGGGGAGCUGUAUGCAAGCUUGGAUCCGAAGAUUCCGAAUGGGGAA
RNAcentral lists this unclassified non-coding RNA (535 nucleotides) under uncultured Pelagibacterales bacterium. RNAcentral's name for it is "partial 16S-23S ribosomal RNA intergenic spacer". The stretch from base 413 to 535 matches the Rfam family "Bacterial large subunit ribosomal RNA", at positions 1 to 125 of the family's 2925-position model. The record is from RNAcentral. Lineage: Bacteria; Pseudomonadati; Pseudomonadota; Alphaproteobacteria; Candidatus Pelagibacterales.